CCCUCCAUGCCUAAAUAAUUAUAGUUAAAAAGAACUAGAAGAAGUAGAUGAUAUAUUUAGAUGAGAUGAUGAGAGUAUUAAAAAUCUCAACAACUUUUACAUACAUUGAUGAUAUGUAUUUUAUAUAGGUUCACGUGUUUAGUAUUGUUUGUUUAGCCUUCUUAAUUGCUUUGUCACAUACUUACAUAAUCUUUUCUACAUAUCUGGCACCCUCAAAUACAUCUAGUGGAACACUGGAAGGACCUUAAGCUUCAUUGAUUAAAAUACAGAAAUGUUAUUUGAUUGAGGUCAUAGAUUUUGGUAUUCCCAGCGAACGACCCGACGACCAUUAGAUCGAAAGCAUCAAUCUUGAUGCAUGUCACCACAUGCGUGUUCGCUUUGAUUUCGAAACCACACGUAGGAACGCAACUAACUUACUUCCUCACCUACUUGUUACCACUCUCUGAUUGUGUCCCAUCCAUCACUAUUUCCUAUUACAAUGUACUCUUUAGUAGUGAUAUUUUGCAUAUUAUUAGUUAAUUUGAAUGUUGCUUCCCCCUAUCAAAAUAAUUGUACUUGGAGAGAACUAAUCUAGUUCUCCCCAACUACAAUCAUAUUGGUACAGAGGAAGUAUUUUUCAUUUCAAGUUGCAUGUAAUACAGAACAUAACAACAAGUAUUUUUUUGGAGCUUCACAAGCGAUGAAAAUUUGACCAUUUUUUAUCGAAGACAAGGCGACAUAUGUGAGAAGAUGGGUAUCACAGGACCAACAGGAUUUUUGCGUCGUCGUUCUGCAGUGCGGAACCGAAGCAGAGCACUUUUUCCCUCCGGCAGGUCGAUAUUGCCGAAGAUUCAUCCUUCCGGUAGAGGGAACUCGAAGCCAUCGUCAUCACAAACAGUCCCAUCAUUAUUGGGAUCAUCAUCUCCAUCAACAUUUUCAUCAACUCCUUCACCACACCACAUAUCUCUAUUCUAUGAACUUCUACCUUAGAUCUUUUGUUGAGAAUAGUUUCUCAUGUUGAUUACUCCUUCGUAUCGAUGCUUAGAAGUUUUCCUCAUGAAAUAUUCAUGUGUUCAGAUUGUUAAUUUUAUAGUCAUUAUCACUGAUCAUGAUUCA
Long non-coding RNA from Hordeum vulgare subsp. vulgare (domesticated barley), 1095 nucleotides. RefSeq lists it as uncharacterized. The record is from RefSeq and is a predicted model, not a curated record. The transcript has 2 exons. Lineage: Eukaryota; Viridiplantae; Streptophyta; Magnoliopsida; Poales; Poaceae.